AACGAACGCUGGCGGCAUGCCUAACACAUGCAAGUCGAACGAGACCUCCGGGUCUAGUGGCGCACGGGUGCGUAACGCGUGGGAAUCUGCCCUUGGGUUCGGAAUAACAGCGAGAAAUUGCUGCUAAUACCGGAUGAUGACGUAAGUCCAAAGAUUUAUCGCCCAAGGAUGAGCCCGCGUAGGAUUAGCUAGUUGGUGAGGUAAAGGCUCACCAAGGCGACGAUCCUUAGCUGGUCUGAGAGGAUGAUCAGCCACACUGGGGCUGAGACACGGCCCAGACUCCUACGGGAGGCAGCAGUGGGGAAUAUUGGACAAUGGGCGAAAGCCUGAUCCAGCAAUGCCGCGUGAGUGAAGAAGGCCUUCGGGUUGUAAAGCUCUUUACCGGAACGAUAAUGACUGUACCGGGAGAAUAAGCCCCGGCUAACUCCGUGCCAGCAGCCGCGGUAA
RNAcentral lists this ribosomal RNA (447 nucleotides) under uncultured bacterium. RNAcentral's name for it is "bacterial SSU rRNA". It matches the Rfam family "Bacterial small subunit ribosomal RNA", at positions 29 to 523 of the family's 1533-position model. The record is from RNAcentral.